This 485-nucleotide ribosomal RNA is filed under the name uncultured bacterium. RNAcentral's name for it is "bacterial SSU rRNA". It matches the Rfam family "Bacterial small subunit ribosomal RNA", at positions 903 to 1397 of the family's 1533-position model. The record is from RNAcentral.
AAAGGAAUAGACGGGGACCCGCACAAGCGGUGGAGCAUGUGGUUUAAUUCGACGUUAAACGAAGAACCUCACCAGGGCUUGAAGUCACAGGAAUACCCCCGAAAGGGAGUAGUGCCGCAAGGAGCCUGUGGAUCAGGUGCUGCAUGGCCGUCGUCAGCUCGUGUCGUGAGAUGUUCGGUUAAGUCCGUAAACGAGCGCAACCCUUGUCCUGCGUUAAAGUUCACACAGGAGACUGCCGGCUUAUCGCCGGAGGAAGGUGAGGAUGACGUCAGGUCAGCAUGGCCCUCUGACGCCCUGGGCUACACACGUGCUACAAUGGCGAGGACAAUGAGACGCAAAGUCGCGAGACGAAGCAAAUCUCAUCAAACCUCGUCCCAGUUCGGAUUGAAGGCUGCAACUCGCCUUCAUGAAGUCGGAAUCGCUAGUAAUCGCCGGUCAGCAAUACGGCGGUGAAUACGUUCUCGGGUCUUGUACACACCGCCCGU